Molecule: ribosomal RNA, 87 nt
Filed under: Tiarella cordifolia
Lineage: Eukaryota; Viridiplantae; Streptophyta; Magnoliopsida; Saxifragales; Saxifragaceae
Description: partial 5.8S ribosomal RNA
Rfam family: 5.8S ribosomal RNA
About the family: 5.8S ribosomal RNA (5.8S rRNA) is a component of the large subunit of the eukaryotic ribosome. It is transcribed by RNA polymerase I as part of the 45S precursor that also contains 18S and 28S rRNA.
Source: RNAcentral
UGCAGAAUCCCGUGAACCAUCGAGUUUUUGAACGCAAGUUGCGCCCGAAGCCAUCUGGUUGAGGGCACGUCUGCCUGGGCGUCACGU